Molecule: non-coding RNA, 45 nt
Filed under: Schistosoma mansoni
Lineage: Eukaryota; Metazoa; Platyhelminthes; Trematoda; Strigeidida; Schistosomatidae
Source: RNAcentral
AUACAGCUGAUGAGUCCCAUACAGGAUGAGAUGUGCGUCAUGUAU